Dalotia coriaria is the source of this 641-nucleotide long non-coding RNA. RefSeq lists it as uncharacterized. NCBI's taxonomy places the organism in Eukaryota, Metazoa, Arthropoda, Insecta, Coleoptera, Staphylinidae. The transcript has 2 exons. The record is from RefSeq and is a predicted model, not a curated record.
UCAUCGCAAUAAGUUCAAUUCAACGUCGCGUUGUUUAAAUCGUUUAAAACUCUAAAAGUGAAAACUUUAAAUUUUUAAUAAAAAGUGUUUGUUUUGAAUUUAUGUGAACACCCUGUGUGUAUGUGUUUGUUGUGUUUGUUUAACUCCUCACCUAGUUUUGCCAAAAGUGAACUAUUAUUCUCGCCAUAAUGAAAGGCGGCUGGAAAACGCGAACAAAAAGCCCGUCUCGCGCCAUAUUUUCGCAUCCCCUGGGCACGCCGAGAAAGAGAGUCUCGACGCGAAGGUCUUCACCGCCUCGCGCAUUUCUUUACCGCCGCCGCCGCCGCUCCUGCGCCAUCGCCGACUUAUUAUUUUAUGCAAAUGAAGAAAAACAUAAAAACGACGCUCGUUCGUCGCCCUCGCAGCGAACGCGACGACUCGUUUGCAUAAUGAGCGAACGAACGCGCUGGAAGAACGAGACGCCUUCUCGUCCUGUUUUUAUCCGAGGACUCAGGAUAACGUACAGUGAACGACGCACGACGACCAGAUAACCAACACACAGGAUAAUCAGAUAGGAAAAAACUUGCGGGAAAUAAAAAAAUGUUUUUUUGGUGUUUUAAGGAUAAUUUUAAGACAAAAUAAGAUAAAGUUGUUGUAGUGGG